RNAcentral lists this ribosomal RNA (746 nucleotides) under Ornithobacterium rhinotracheale. RNAcentral describes it as "bacterial SSU rRNA". It matches the Rfam family "Bacterial small subunit ribosomal RNA", at positions 82 to 827 of the family's 1533-position model. Lineage: Bacteria; Pseudomonadati; Bacteroidota; Flavobacteriia; Flavobacteriales; Weeksellaceae. The record is from RNAcentral.
CGGAUUAAGGAAACCGGCGCACGGGUGCGUAACGCGUCUGCAACUUGCCCUUAUCAGGAGGAUAGCCCGGGGAAACUCGGAUUAAUACUCCAUAAGAUUUUGAUUGGCAUCGAUUAAAAUUGAAAGAUUUAUUGGAUAAGGAUAGGCAUGCGUCAGAUUAGUUAGUUGGUAGUGUAACGGACUACCAAGGCGAUGAUCUGUAGGGGGCCUGAGAGGGUGAACCCCCACACUGGUACUGAGACACGGACCAGACUCCUACGGGAGGCAGCAGUGAGGAAUAUUGGACAAUGGAGGGAACUCUGAUCCAGCCAUCCCGCGUGCAGGAAGACGGCCCUAUGGGUUGUAAACUGCUUUUGUAUGGGGAUAAAUCUACUUACGUGUAGGUAGUUGAAGGUACCAUACGAAUAAGCAUCGGCUAACUCCGUGCCAGCAGCCGCGGUAAUACGGAGGAUGCAAGCGUUAUCCGGAUUCAUUGGGUUUAAAGGGUCCGUAGGCGGGCUGAUAAGUCAGUGGUGAAAUUUUGUCGCUCAACGAUAAAACUGCCAUUGAUACUGUUAGUCUUGAGUGAUAUUGAAGUAGCUGGAAUGUGUAGUGUAGCGGUGAAAUGCAUAGAUAUUACACAGAACACCGAUUGCGAAGGCAGGUUACUAAGUAUUAACUGACGCUGAAGGACGAAAGCGUGGGGAGCGAACAGGAUUAGAUACCCUGGUAGUCCACGCAGUAAACGAUGCUAACUCGUUUUCGGG